This 1028-nucleotide ribosomal RNA is filed under the name Burkholderia cenocepacia. RNAcentral's name for it is "SSU rRNA". It matches the Rfam family "Eukaryotic small subunit ribosomal RNA", at positions 1 to 1039 of the family's 1831-position model. The record is from RNAcentral. Lineage: Bacteria; Pseudomonadati; Pseudomonadota; Betaproteobacteria; Burkholderiales; Burkholderiaceae.
UCUGGUUGAUCCUGCCAGUAGUCAUAUGCUUGUCUCAAAGAUUAAGCCAUGCAUGUCUAAGUAUAAGCAAUUUAUACAGUGAAACUGCGAAUGGCUCAUUAAAUCAGUUAUCGUUUAUUUGAUAGUUCCUUUACUACAUGGUAUAACUGUGGUAAUUCUAGAGCUAAUACAUGCUUAAAAUCUCGACCCUUUGGAAGAGAUGUAUUUAUUAGAUAAAAAAUCAAUGUCUUCGGACUCUUUGAUGAUUCAUAAUAACUUUUCGAAUCGCAUGGCCUUGUGCUGGCGAUGGUUCAUUCAAAUUUCUGCCCUAUCAACUUUCGAUGGUAGGAUAGUGGCCUACCAUGGUUUCAACGGGUAACGGGGAAUAAGGGUUCGAUUCCGGAGAGGGAGCCUGAGAAACGGCUACCACAUCCAAGGAAGGCAGCAGGCGCGCAAAUUACCCAAUCCUAAUUCAGGGAGGUAGUGACAAUAAAUAACGAUACAGGGCCCAUUCGGGUCUUGUAAUUGGAAUGAGUACAAUGUAAAUACCUUAACGAGGAACAAUUGGAGGGCAAGUCUGGUGCCAGCAGCCGCGGUAAUUCCAGCUCCAAUAGCGUAUAUUAAAGUUGUUGCAGUUAAAAAGCUCGUAGUUGAACUUUGGGCCCGGUUGGCCGGUCCGAUUUUUUCGUGUACUGGAUUUCCAACGGGGCCUUUCCUUCUGGCUAACCUUGAGUCCUUGUGGCUCUUGGCGAACCAGGACUUUUACUUUGAAAAAAUUAGAGUGUUCAAAGCAGGCGUAUUGCUCGAAUAUAUUAGCAUGGAAUAAUAGAAUAGGACGUUUGGUUCUAUUUUGUUGGUUUCUAGGACCAUCGUAAUGAUUAAUAGGGACGGUCGGGGGCAUCAGUAUUCAAUUGUCAGAGGUGAAAUUCUUGGAUUUAUUGAAGACUAACUACUGCGAAAGCAUUUGCCAAGGACGUUUUCAUUAAUCAAGAACGAAAGUUAGGGGAUCGAAGAUGAUCAGAUACCGUCGUAGUCUUAACCAUAAACUA